RNAcentral lists this ribosomal RNA (460 nucleotides) under uncultured bacterium. RNAcentral's name for it is "partial 16S ribosomal RNA". It matches the Rfam family "Bacterial small subunit ribosomal RNA", at positions 338 to 795 of the family's 1533-position model. The record is from RNAcentral.
CCUACGGGGGUCAGCAGUGAGGAAUAUUGGUCAAUGGACGAGAGUCUGAACCAGCCAAGUAGCGUGAAGGAUGACUGCCCUAUGGGUUGUAAACUUCUUUUAUAUGGGAAUAAAAUGUUCCACGUGUGGGAUUUUGUAUGUACCAUAUGAAUAAGGAUCGGCUAACUCCGUGCCAGCAGCCGCGGUAAUACGGAGGAUCCAAGCGUUAUCCGGAUUUAUUGGGUUUAAAGGGAGCGUAGGUGGAUUGUUAAGUCAGUUGUGAAAGUUUGCGGCUCAACCGUAAAAUUGCAGUUGAAACUGGCAGUCUUGAGUACAGUAGAGAUGGGCGGAAUUCGUGGUGUAGCGGUGAAAUGCUUAGAUAUCACGAAGAACUCCGAUUGCGAAGGCAGCUUACUGGACUGCAACUGACACUGAGGCUCGAAAGUGUGGGUAUCAAACAGGAUUAGAUACCCGUGUAGUC